AAAUCGGCGCUUUUCAGGGCCAUCAAAUGUCAUACAAAAUUUAAUU
Molecule: non-coding RNA, 46 nt
Organism: Aedes aegypti (yellow fever mosquito)
Lineage: Eukaryota; Metazoa; Arthropoda; Insecta; Diptera; Culicidae
Source: Rfam